Molecule: ribosomal RNA, 494 nt
Filed under: uncultured bacterium
Lineage: Bacteria
Description: partial 16S ribosomal RNA
Rfam family: Bacterial small subunit ribosomal RNA
Source: RNAcentral
AUUGAACGCUGGCGGCAUGCUUUACACUUGCAAGUCGAACGGCAGCGGGGAGGAGCUUGCUUCUCUGCCGGCGAGUGGCGAACGGGUGAGUAAUACAUCGGAACGUGUCGAGAAGAGGGGGAUAACCACCCGAAAGGGUGGCUAAUACCGCAUAAAUUCUGAGGAAGAAAGCUGGGGACCUAGGAAUAGGCCUAGCGCUUUUUGAGCGGCCGAUGUCGGAUUAGCUAGUUGGUGAGGUAAAGGCUCACCAAGGCGAAGAUCUGUAGCGGGUCUGAGAGGAUGAUCCGCCACACUGGGACUGAGACACGGCCCAGACUCCUACGGGAGGCAGCAGUGGGGAAUUUUGGACAAUGGGGGCAACCCUGAUCCAGCCAUGCCGCGUGUAUGAAGAAGGCCUUAGGGUUGUAAAGUACUUUUGUUAGGGAAGAAAAGUCAGCUGUGAAUAAUGGCUGAUACUGACGGUACCUAAAGAAUAAGCACCGGCUAACUACGUG